CGGCAAAGAUAAAAAUUACUAUUAUCUAGUCUAUCUACAAUUAACAAAAUUGAAAACAAAAUUGCAUUAAUAAAGGAAAUAUAUAAAACCUAGUUGAAAAGUAUAUCAUGGCUAAAACCUUGAAUAAGCCGUCAAGUAGAAAAGGUGGUGAACUAUACUGAAACGAAACACUGAUAUUUCUAGUCUGCAAAUGAAUUUCGCGAAAACAUGUUUCCCGCGCUAGUUUAUAAUUUCAAACAAAACUUGUACAAUAAACGUUCUUAAUAUUCCAAAUCGUUUUCAUUACUUUAGCACAUGGUAAUUUGUUUUGUGUUUGAAAUUUACAAAACAUUUCAAAGUAUUCGAUAUUACAGGAAAAGGCGCCUAUACGCUGCUAUCCAAUAAUAGCGCCUGUCCAACAUCGCAAAAUACCAGACAGGCACGUGACCCUAGUUAAAGAAUUGUGAUUGGUGCAUCACAUGUUAGAGUAUAUAAUAUUAGCAUAUAUAUUCCAAUGAUAUAGGCCUGUUUUCACAAUAUUUCAGUUUGCACUUUGAUGAAGGUCUGAAGCAUUUCGUUUAUUAAAAAAUUAUUCGCAGUUGAUCACCUUUUCGAUCGACUAUGUUGUGAAUCCUUCAGUUCUACUACAAAUACACAUUGCG
This is a non-coding RNA of Paramuricea clavata, 641 nucleotides long. NCBI's taxonomy places the organism in Eukaryota, Metazoa, Cnidaria, Anthozoa, Malacalcyonacea, Plexauridae. The record is from the annotation of a GenBank genome assembly.